This 475-nucleotide ribosomal RNA is filed under the name Helobdella stagnalis. RNAcentral's name for it is "partial 16S ribosomal RNA". It matches the Rfam family "Bacterial large subunit ribosomal RNA", at positions 1831 to 2597 of the family's 2925-position model. RNAcentral also lists the same sequence under 1 other name. The record is from RNAcentral. Lineage: Eukaryota; Metazoa; Annelida; Clitellata; Rhynchobdellida; Glossiphoniidae.
UUCUUUUAGUUAAUAUUAAAAGUAUGCCCUGCCCAAUGAAUUCUUAAACGGCCGCGGUAUCCUAACCGUGCAAAGGUAGCAUAAUAACUUGCCUAUUAAUUGUAGGCUAGAAUGAAAGGGUAAACGAAAUAAAAACUGUCUCCUAUAUAACACUAAAAACUAUCCUCCAAGUGAAGAGACUUGAAUUAAAUUAAAAGACAAGAAGACCCUAUAGAGCUUUAUUAUAAAUAUAAAUCAAUUAUACUAAAAUUCGGUUGGGGCGACCUAGGAAUACUUAACAUCCUAAAAAAUUUAAGACUAAUAAGUCUAUUAUAGAUCCAACUCAUGAUCAAUAAAUUAAGCUACCUUAGGGAUAACAGGCUAAUAUUUUUCUAGAGUCCUUAUCAACAAAAAUGUUUGGCACCUCGAUGUUGGCUUAGGGAUCCUUUAUGGUGCAGAAAUCAUAUAAGGAGGUUUGUUCAACCUAUAAAUCCCU